ACACUCCUGCGGGAGGCAGCAGUAGGGAAUCUUCGGCAAUGGGGGCAACCCUGACCGAGCAACGCCGCGUGAGUGAAGAAGGUUUUCGGAUCGUAAAGCUCUGUUGUAAGUCAAGAACGAGUGUGAGAGUGGAAAGUUCACACUGUGACGGUAGCUUACCAGAAAGGGACGGCUAACUACGUGCCAGCAGCCGCGGUAAUACGUAGGUCCCGAGCGUUGUCCGGAUUUAUUGGGCGUAAAGCGAGCGCAGGCGGUUUGAUAAGUCUGAAGUUAAAGGCUGUGGCUCAACCAUAGUUCGCUUUGGAAACUGUCAAACUUGAGUGCAGAAGGGGAGAGUGGAAUUCCAUGUGUAGCGGUGAAAUGCGUAGAUAUAUGGAGGAACACCGGUGGCGAAAGCGGCUCUCUGGUCUGUAACUGACGCUGAGGCUCGAAAGCGUGGGGAGCGAACAGGAUUAGAUACCCUAGUAGUCCC
Molecule: ribosomal RNA, 472 nt
Filed under: uncultured organism
Description: partial 16S ribosomal RNA
Rfam family: Bacterial small subunit ribosomal RNA
Source: RNAcentral